ACCCAGGAUCCGUCACUCCUGCUCCAGCAACUAAAGCAGACUUACAAGAAAUUUUAGCAGUUUUUGCAUCCUCAUUCGAUGAAAAAUUAAGAAAUACGAGAUCUGAGUUCCUAGAGCUACACAACAAGGCUACAAAUUCUCUGGUGGAGAAGAUUAAGGACUCAACGAAAACGAAAUGGCGCAGGGAAGGAAACCAGUUGCAGUUUCAGUUCAACCAGCAAGUAUCAAGCUAAGUUAUCCUCAAGUUUUCCUGUUUAUUUCAAGGAUGUUCUGAAAAUCUUCUUCGCCAGCAUGGCUCUGCUUUAACCUUCACAUUGGGUGUAAAAAAUUUGAGUGGGGCGUGGUGACCCAUAGGUGCUCAAAUACACUGACAGGACCCAAAAGUGUGUUCAUUGGUGUUUUAUUUUGUAUUAGUGGUUAGUUUUAUGAAAUGAUGUUUGGGGAAGAAAUGAAAAUAUGUUAGUUUGAAUUAAUGACCAGGUGUGAAUUAGAACAUAUUUACUUUCUUUGCGUUGGGUGAUUUUCUGUGGCUUAUUCAGUUUGGGUGUUACGUAACAUAGGUGGGUUUCCCUAAUAGGACUAGUGGCGUGAUCUUUCAUUCACGUCAGUAGUGGCACCGGGGUAACAUUGCAUUUGUUAAUAAAAUUGGUAUGUUUUUUCGUAGAGAGAGAUUACAGUUUUAAUCUCCCGUGCCUUGGAGGAAAUUGGUGAAGGGUUCACAGUGAGGCCUACCUUACAGGAGGUGUCCAAUCUGAUUGAUAGCAGACAGAAGUUAAUUCGCAUCGCUGACACCAGCCCAUAUGGAUGGGUUACUGUUUCAGAGUACGAGGCCCACGAGGUUGCCGAUGACGAGAACGACGACAAUAAGAUCACCAGGGCCGAAAACAGAGCUGGGCGUAAAGUCAAGCAGAAGAAGAUGGCUGCAUCAGAGCAGGCAAAGAAGUUCAAGCGUGACCAAGGGUCAGUGGUUGAUAGUAAUGAUGGUGGUAGUCAGUCUUUUCGUCAACCUAGUCAAGUCCUUCCCUUUGGUCAAACCUACGGCAGACCUUACGCAGACGGAUCAUGCUUCAUAUGCGGCAGUUACGCCCACUGGAAGGCCACAUGUCCUAAACGUAGAGCAGCCAGUGCAGCCUCCACCCCCUCUGCUACAAAAUCAUGUUAAGUCGACCACUACACCUGCUCCUGAACUGGAGGGAAAAUGAUGAUGGAAACCACUCACGAUGCAGUACACGGAAAGACAAUGAAUGUAGAAAAAUUUAACUUUUGGACAAGAGAGAACUUCAGGGAUAUCUUCAAAAAAGAGGUCUGCCUGUAACUGGCAUAAAGGCGGAACUUGUUGCAUUGGCCUUUGCUCGUUGGACUAUGAAGGCUCCAGUUCAGCCUUCUAAUGAUGAGCGCCACACAAUCAGGGUGAAAGAGUACAACAUUUUGCUCACUUUAGAGGGAGUGCAGUUGCCUGAUCCACUGUGUGACCUUUUUGGGUGGUUGGGAGAGUCCGAGGUGGCCAUUGCCAUGAUCUCAGAUAUCAGUGACUUCCUUGCCUGGCACGACACUGAUGUGGAUAAGACGAGCCUUGGGGAAAGACUCCUUUGUGAUUACAAAAGGAAACUAUGCCCAAAAUGUACUGAUCCAGCAACCACCGUUGAGGGACAAAAGCAAGCUGGACCAACACUAGAAGAAAUUGAGCAGAAAUUAAGUGGUGCAGUAAGUUUAGGGCAUAUUCACUGGUACCCUUGGGACUUCUCUGGACACCUUAGGAACAAGUCGACUGGUAGCUCUAUUCAUCUGCCAAGAGUGACUAGGUUAGGCACCUGUUUGGUUGGUGCUGUGCCCUGAUGCCUGAUAUGCCAUCUUCACCAGUGGUCACAGGUGUGUUCUCUUGGUGGUCUUCUCAUCAUUGAGGUCAUCUGAGGGCACCUACUGGUACAUGGAAACUCCAAUGGCUAACAACAGCAAGGCUUUCAUUUCAUUGCAUGUUGAGAAAAGGUACCUGUGUUUGAUGGUUUGCACCGGAAACAGUACCCUGUGGACACUUGCCUGACCUGCAUGAUCUGCAUGAUCUGAAUAUCUGCUCAUUGUAUGGCACCAUAAGGACAGGCCCGUCAAGUCAGAUCAGUUGCUGCUCUCUGUUGCGGCCUGAACAUGAGUUUCUUGUCAAAGGCAAAAUCUUGGAUGGGAACACAAGUACAUGUACUGGGUGGAAAUCAAGAAACUGUUUCUACAAACCCUGUCGGAUACUGCCAAGGUGCUCAGAGCUGGAUCGCAUGUCCAAAGGAAUUAAGAUGAAAGUGGACUGCAUCAUUCCAACGUUUACUCAUGAUAUGGAAAGGUAUGACCUCUACACUGUGUUCCCAAUGGAUCAGUUAACUUAAGGCCUGUGAGGUGAGCUGAGUUGAAAGAGAAUGCUUGUUGCUUUUUCCAUUGCUGCAUUUCCAUCAGAUCAUGUAUAUGGACCUGUAAUAUACAUGUAACUGGUUUCUGUUAUAUUGCAUAACAUUCAAUUUUAUGCACUGUCUAAAGGGUAUAAAUCAAUCACAAUCUGGAGAAUUGUUUAAGAAAGCUAUUCAAGGUUAUUUUACCUGAGUAACUGUUGAAGUAAUUGUAAACUUGUCAAAAUAUUGUAAAGUAUUCUGUCUAAAUCUACCUUUGAAGCUGAGUUGAAGAGAAAGGAAGGUUGCUGCACCCAACACUGUUUUAAGGGGAGCAUAUUACGUACAUGUACAGUUGAACGCCGCUAUAACGAACACGACGGGGUCCACGCUAGAUGUUUGGUACAGUGGUCGUUCAGUAUAGCAAAUUUAACUGCAGAACCUUUCAUUGCCAUGUUGAAUAGCGCCCUCUCUUGUCUAACUGAAGUGCACCCUCUUGUGAUACUAUGGUUUGCUGUUUU
RNAcentral lists this long non-coding RNA (2890 nucleotides) under Acanthaster planci (crown-of-thorns starfish). RNAcentral describes it as "uncharacterized LOC110973597, transcript variant X3". Lineage: Eukaryota; Metazoa; Echinodermata; Asteroidea; Valvatida; Acanthasteridae. The record is from RNAcentral.